RNAcentral lists this long non-coding RNA (1297 nucleotides) under Salmo trutta (river trout). RNAcentral describes it as "lncRNA (ENSSTUG00000010055.1)". Lineage: Eukaryota; Metazoa; Chordata; Actinopteri; Salmoniformes; Salmonidae. The record is from RNAcentral.
AUGAGACAACGGAAGUUCAGCAAUGGGCUAAUACAGGAAGUGAGUGCAGAGGAAACAAAUGAGAACACGGAUGGUCCCCAGGUACUACAGAGAACAAUUGAAGUCCUGUUUCUUAGCAUCAAACAAAGGAAACAGAACCUCUACCGUCAGGCAGGUUUGUUACAUUUCAUGAAUAUUGAAUUGCACACACUUCAUUUCUCUUUCAUUUCAAAGUAUUGCAAUUUAAGAAAUAAUUCCAUUCUCCUUUUGUUUUGAUGACAGAUGGAUGCAAGAAAAGACACCCUCUGCGCAGAAAGAUAUUGGAAGAAAAGGCCAAAUUGACAGCUGCCAUAGAGGAGUACAACACCCUUGUACCAGAUUCAGCAAUACCAUCUGCAGAUGAGAUCCUUUCCGCAGACCAUGCAUGGCCUUGGGAGCUGCAUGGACAAAGUAAGUAGUAUGUUUGUGUGUCACAAUAACUAUGUUUCUGUUUUGCUAUCUGUGUUUGUUCAGUUGCGCAAACACAGACAGCACUGCCCUUAAAGUUACAAAUCCACAUUGCAUUCUUAUGAAUUUACAGCUGACCUACUCACAAAGAAAAUAGCCUUUGUGUGAUGCUCCUCAGGUGAUGCUCCUGAGACGGCUGAAGGAGGAAGAGUUAAUUGUUCUAAAGGAAGUCAAGCAGCACUGGGAAAGCCUAAAGAGGGAAUCCGAGAAUGUGCAAGACCUUGCUUCACAUGUGGCACUUGACCUAAGCAGGCAAAGUAGGGGAACUUUCAUUAAUAUGUACAAUUGAUGUUGGCACCCUGUAAUUGCUAUUGUAUUUAAGGAAUACUUCAUGGUAUUUACCUUACACAUUACGAUUGUUGGUGUUAGGCUGGCAAUUGAAUCAGUCGGAAGCUGGGAGCAGAGGCCUCUUCUCCAUGCUUCAGAGGAGUCAGCAGCCUCAGAAGAAUCCAGGACUCUGUCAAUCUGAUAUACAGCCAAGCUAUGGGCCAAGACACCUCCCUCCUAGAAAAUAACUUCAUAGAUGACCUCCUGGAAGAGGACCUAGAUGACAUCUAUGACAGCAUCCACUACAGCUCUGAUGAUGAGGAAUCUAUCACCGACUGAAGGUGUUCGUUUGGGUGGGUGCAGUUUGCACUGGGUGAAAAGUGAUUCCAUUUGUUUUGCAUAUGUGCUUUAUCUGCCUUCCUAAGGAAAAAUAGUUUGAACAUUUUAUGGAAAAUAAACUUUUAUAUUUCUUCCUUGUUGACAAUGUGAUCAUGUGUCACAGAUUUGAGAAGGGCGCUCAUCUGUUACUGCUUUUGCCCGGUUG